UCUAUACCACAAUCAAGAUGAGACCUCUUCUGGAGACAGGUUUUCAGUUACAGAGGCCGGAACACCCUGGCACGGGCACCACAGAACCGGCCCGUGGCUAGGCCUCAGCGGACGGUUACGUCCGCCCCCACACCCUGUUUGUACUCUGCCACCUGCACCCAGACGGCACCACCUGCCCCCUGCCUCUCCCCCACCUCCCUGCAUCCCCUCCCCCCGCCGCCCCCUGCCAGCAACCCACCCCCAGUGCUUAGUUUCUAGGGUAGCAGCCAGUCUGCCCUCAUUUCCUUCCUGAACGUCUUGAAAAAAGGUUAUUAAUCGAGCGCUUUUGCAUGGUUGCUAUUUCUUGCAUCGGAUUAGGAUACAGCCUGUAAUACGUGCAGCGUUGAGGGGAUGCAAGUAGGAGAGCUGCACUACGUCUACAAGAAUGUUGACAGACAUAUUUUUUGCUAUGUCCCAUGGAUUUAUGGAUUUAUCCACCUUUAGAUGGGGCGUGCUUAGUUACAAAGAUAGGCGGGCAUCGCCCCUUCUCACAGGACUGUGGCUGAGGGAAUGUCAGAUUCAGCCAUUUGUUUGGCCACCCAAAGCUACUUUUUGGCACUGUGAGUUGUUGCUGAAGUAUUCAUAUUGUUAUAAAUGCUAACAAUUUUAUUAGUAAUAAUAAUAUCAAUAAUGGCUAAAAUUUAUGGAAAUAUAUGUUUUAUAUGGAACUGUAUUUUCUUCUAUAAUUCUCACACACACAAAAACCCCUUAUACUUAUUAUCUGUAUUUGUCAGAUGGGAAAUUGAGGCUUACAAAGUUUAAGUACGUUUCCCAAGGCUGUAAAUAUUAUGUUAUAUGCAAACAGUAGGUAAGGUUUUCAUGCUAAGUGUGAUGAGUUUUUGAGCAAAAGUUGGAUCGAAGUUAGGUCCUAUCAAUUCACCGUUUCUUGGCACCAUGAAAUGUUAACAAAUCUGAUGUUAAAGAAGUUCGGGGAAUGUUGCAUGCCACACCCCUUCCUGAAACUCACAAUGCACAAGAGCAUGGUAAUGACUCUAAGAUAUCCUGGAGAAAAGAAACUUGUUUAUUUUGCUGAGAAUUUCCCAGGUUUGGAAAAACAGUGGAAAGCCGCCAAGGACAGUUUUGAUUCUGUGUACCGUCCCAUUUCUUCAUAGGUAUUUUGAUUGGCCCAUGCUGAUUUGCCAUUGGAGCGAAGUUUUGCAAGAUCAUUUCGGAGCCUUUCAUUCUCGUGUUCCAGUUUGUUAAUAGACGUAUGCCUCGAAUGUUCCCUGUUAGUGAAGUCCAAACUCUAGAGAAUGAAAAAACCAUCACUGAAAAAACUGCUCCUUAUAAGGGAAUGCGUAUUUUCUGUGCACUUAGACAUGGCUGUCGUAAGCCCCUUUUAUCUGAGUCCAGGGACAUGGCUCUACCUUUGUGUGCCUCCUGAAGCCCUCUCCUGCCCUCACCUCCUCACAACAUGGACAUUCAGUGACAGCUGCCACCGAACGCUUCACAACGAGAGCAAUGCAUCCGCCACUGUCCGUGUUCACUUCUGCACUAGCGUUCUCUCUCUCUCUAGAACAGACUGGCUGGAUUUAAGGGUUUUCGUGUCUAGAGGGUAUGCCUUCCAGCAUUAAUAAUAGAACCAGAAUUAACACA
Long non-coding RNA from Herpailurus yagouaroundi (jaguarundi), 1635 nucleotides. RefSeq lists it as uncharacterized. The record is from RefSeq and is a predicted model, not a curated record. The transcript is spliced from 2 exons. Lineage: Eukaryota; Metazoa; Chordata; Mammalia; Carnivora; Felidae.